GAAGACCUACAAAAAGCUAAUGAUUUUUACAACAAAACCAUAUUUCCCAGAUUUUUUUUUUUUUGUAUUUUAGAUUUUUGGAAACUAAGAACUGGUGAACUUUGUAACCGCCUUGGUCCCUUCUGAAACAGCAUGCUUGGCCAACUCCCCAGGUAGGACCAAUCUUACGGCAGUCUGAAUCUCACGGGAGGUAAUGGUGGGUUUCUUGUUAUAGCGUGCAAGCCUCGAAGAUUCUUGAGCCAGCUUCUCGAAGAUGUCGUUGAUGAAACUGUUCAUAAUACCCAUAGCUUUGCUGGAAAUGCCGAUAUCAGGAUGGACUUGCUUCAGGACCUUGAAGAUGUAGAUCUUGUAGGUUUCAAUGCUCUUCUUGGUUCGCUUCUUCUUCUUGUCCCCGGCUUCUUUAGGGAGCUUCUUCUCAGCUCUUGGUUUUUUCUCAGCUGGGGCCUUCUCGGCCUUUUUCUCCUCAGCUGGCUUUUUCUCGGCUGGCUUCUUCUCGGCUUUGGGUGCCAUUGGAAACUAGUUGUGAUUUCUAAAGAUUAGAGAAUGCAGUCAGUGGUGAAUGAGAGAAGUGAAAGGUGAAUAUGAAUAUAUAGGGGAGAAGGGAGAGAUUUGAUUGGUUGGUUUUCGUGAGCGAGGAUGGGUCGCUGGAUUUGACAGGGCGGAAUUGGACGGAGAGGAUCGUUUCCUGUUCGUCUUGAAUCUAUAAGAAAUUAUUUUAUUAUUUAUUUAAAGCGGGGUACUUUGGUUUCGAUUACGUUUUUAAAAUUUUGCCCAACCUUAAGUUUCGCGGGCGAAUUCUUACGGGUAUCUAAUUGUGAGCAUCCAGUUGUGUUUCUCCACGUGGCGCGUAUAAAUAUAAUAAUUUAGUUUUGGCUGGAUGCCUGCAGUUUGUUACACAAGUAUAAUUUAUUUAAUAGGUAUGUACAUGUGAAUGGGUUAAUUAUAAAUCCUAUCAAAAAUAGGUUUGAAAUUACUAAAAAUUAUAAAAGCUUUUCCAUUUCAACAGAUUAAAAAGUAGGCUUUCUAGUUAUUUAUUUCCAUUUCAACAAUUACGUACCCGUAAAAAUUCGCCCGCGAAACGGAAGGGUUGGGCAAAAUUUGAAAAAACGAAAUGGAAACAAAAUCCCCAGCUUUAAAUAAAUAAUAAAAUAAAAUCUCAUAUGAUUAAAGACGAAAGGAAGCGAUCCUUUCCGUCCAAUUCCAUCCAGUCAAAUGCAUCAACCCAUAAUUCCCACGUCACCGAUCCUCGCACACGAAAACUAACCAAUCGAAUCUCUCCCUUCUCCCGUAUAUAUUUAUAUUCACCCUUCACUUCUCUCAUUCACCACUGACUGCACUUUCUAAUCUUUAGAAAUCACAACCAGUUUCCAAUGGCACCCAAAGCCGAGAAGAAGCCAGCCGAGGAGAAAAAAGCCGAGAAAGUCCCAGCUGAGAAAAAACCAAGAGCCGAGAAGAAGCUCCCUAAAGAAGCGGGGGACAAGAAGAAGAAGCGAAGCAAGAAGAGCAUCGAAACCUACAAGAUCUACAUCUUCAAGGUGCUGAAGCAAGUCCAUCCUGAUAUCGGCAUUUCCAGCAAAGCCAUGGGUAUUAUGAACAGCUUCAUCAACGACAUCUUCGAGAAGCUGGCUCAAGAAUCUUCGAGGCUCGCACGCUAUAACAAGAAGCCCACCAUCACCUCCCGUGAGAUUCAGACUGCCGUAAGAUUGGUCCUGCCUGGGGAGUUGGCCAAGCAUGCUGUUUCAGAAGGGACCAAGGCGGUUACAAAGUUCACCAGUUCUUAGUUUCCAAAAAUCUGGGAAAUAUGGAUUUGUUGUAAAAAUCAGUAGCUUUUUGUGGGUCUUCCUGUAAUUUGCGGAGCUUAAAUGGAAAUUUAACCAUAUUUUGAAUUAAUCUUCCUUCUUUUAAAUUAACAAUUUAGUCUUAGCAGCAUUAUUUUUUAUUUUAAAAACAUAUCUUCCCCCUCUUACCUACAGAAUCCAACAACAAAACACAUUGCUCAACAUGUUACAACUUACAUUCAUCAGAGGGCUAUUGAUACCAAACAAAGAUCAUUGCGUGUAUUUUUCACUAUUAAUUAAGAUUCCAUAUUUUGGAUGUGGUUGUACAGGGUACUCAGUAAGGAAACCCAAACGGAGAUCAAUCAAACAAAUGGUUACCUUUUUAUUUUACAGCUCAAAUUAAAUUUACAUUUUAUUGGCUGUUAGAAUUUAAUUCACCUUAAUUUUGUAUUUGAUUUAAGUUAAACUAUCAAACCGGUCAAUUUUUUGUUUAGCUUAAGUUGCAUUUUAAUUACUUAUGUUUGAAAUGUUACGUUUUAGUUACUUAUAUUAAUGCGUUGUAAUAUUUUAGUCACUGAGCUGUUAAUUGCUGUUAACGGUGUAUUAGUGAGUUGACGUGGCAUGUUAAAUAAUCAUUUUCAACAAAUUUUUUUGUUAAUUUAUACUAUCGGUUUACAUAUUUUUUCAUUUUGAGUAAUUUAAUUUUUUUCUUUUAUUUUUUUAACUUUCCUUUUUUUCCCUUUAUUUUCCAUUAUUUUUUGCUUCUCUCUCUAUUUUCCUCCUUUUUCAAUUUCCUUUAACGUAAUUUUUUUUAUGUUUUUCAUUUAUUAGAACUAGUCCCUAUACUUAUUUUUUUAAACAAUUAAAUUUUUCAAAUGAGGUGAACUUGUAGAUUAGUUUUAACAAAUGAAAAAUAUAGAAAAAUUACGUUAAAAGAAAUGAAGAAGAGAAAAAAACAAAUGGAGAAGCAGAAGACAGAAAAAAAGAGAGGAGAGUUGAGAGAACAUAAAAAAAAUUGCUUAAAAUGAAAAAAUAUAGGGAUGAAUUGUAAAAUUUAACCUAAAAUUUUCGUUUAAAAUAAUGAUUUAACGUGUCACAUUAGCUUACCGUUACAUCCUUAACGGCAAUUAACUGCUCAGUGACUAAAACAUUACAGCACGAUAACGUAAGUGACUAAAACGUAACAUUUCAAACAUAAAUAACUAAAAUAUAACUUGAGACAAACAUAAAUAACUAUUUUAAUAAUUUACCCUUCAUUAAAUCAUUUAUUAUAUAACUUAUUUGUUUAUUUCAAUUAACACGGAAAAAAAAAAGAAUUACUGACACAAAAUGUUGAAAUGUAGUUUGAAAAAAUUAUUAUGACAAAAAGUAAUGGGAUCAUUGUCUAUAGUUCGGUUGUUUGAAGCAUAUACAAUGGCUCUGAACAUUGAAAACUUAUUUUAAAUUUUAUAUAUUGUAAUAAUAUUUGUCGUUUUCAAAUAUUAUUUUUAGCAUAUUUUAAUUUUUAUGGAAAAAUAUCAAUCCCUUAAAUUAUUGGACUGAUCCAUUUUGUUCAUAUGAUUAGUGUUUUUUUUAGCGAAAAAAAAAUGUUGGAGUCGAGCCGGGUCAAUUGGAUGAAAAAUAGAUUAAUACAUUAGUUUGAAGAGAGAGUUUAAACUAAUUGACUCUUAAAUCAAUAUGAACUAAUUGAAUAUAGUUUAAAAUUUCGUUAAACCAAUUUUUCUAUUUUUAAAAUACAUUCUUCAAUUUUUUAUUUUAAUAAUUUAAUUAAUUAAAUCAAAUCAAGCGUUAGAAAUCAAAAUUGAUGGCAUGAAGUAUUCAAUCCCAAGUGUAACUAAAAAAUAUUGAAAAGAAUUAAUUCCUUAAAUAAAUGAACAGACACCUUGUUGUAAGAGAAGGGUUAGUGUCUUUGAUUAAGAAUUCAUAAGGACAAAUCGUAGAUCAUCAAAUUUAAAAAUUAAAUUACAUAAUGAUAUUUAAUUUUUAUUAAUAUUUUAACAUAUAAAAAAUUAAUUUACUGUUAUUAAAAAUUCACAACAAUUAACUGUAUUAUUAUGAUUAAUAACUAAAAAAGAUAAAAUAUUUAAUAACAUUUUAAAUUUAUUAUUGAUAUUAUAACUUACCAACAAUUUAUUUUAGAGAUAAUAUUUGAUGCACCGUUAGUAUAUAAGUUUUAGUACAUCAUCGAUAAAUAAUAAUAUGAUACAUCAUAUUUAAAUUAAACAAAAAAUAUGGAAAAUUUAUAAAUAAAUAUUAAUAAUUUUAAAAUAUAAUUAUACAUCAAUUAUAAUUGUAACACCCCAAACCAGGCCCAGACGUUAUGGCUGGAUCCGACAUGCCACAUCGAAGCGUUCAAAACAUUUUAUAUUGUUGAUCCAGAAAAACCUACUUAGUGUUUUAAAAGAUAAUUUCAUUAUAGGUUAAAGUGAAUGGAAGUUGUGCACCAGGUAGGAAACCGGAAAAGAGGAGGUGAGUCUAUCGGACUACUUAAGUACCAAGCUCCCUUCGGAUCCAAUCCUAGACAUGCACACCGCCAUUGCUACACCUUAACGUCAUGUAUAUUUCUAGGAAACCGAUUUGAUUAAGUCAUUUUUAGGAAAAAUGAUUAAUUUUGGCAAAUACUUUCAUUGCGGAAGCUUUGCUUGUUGUCGUGUUAUUUUGAAACCAAUUGUUGAUUUUUUUUUUUCUGAAAACGCGCCCUAAAGCUAUCCAAUUUCAACAGUUAAAAUAAGUAAUAUCUAUCUUAGUAAUACAUAUUAAAACCAACAAAAAUAAUUAAGCGACCUUUUUACAUUUAAAAACCCAAACCUCAACGUAAAUAAUAGGAUGUCCAGUUCACCAGAAGAAAACCAAACUUUCAAAACGGGUGGCCACUCCGAAUUCCCUCACAGCUCCAAGCCCACUAUGGUUGGGGAUUUCCAGCGUGGAUGAAAAUAAAAGGGGUGAGUUUAGGGAAACUCAGUGUGUAAGGAAAACCCAUUCAAAGCCCAAGUCAACUCAAGCCCAUUGGGCCUAAGCCCAUUCAGGUAACAGUGAUACUGGGCCAGAGCCCUUUUCAAAUUACAAUAAACUGGGCCUUAGCCCCUUAUUCAGAUAACAGUAUGGCCCAUAGACCCAUUUCAAAAUACAUGCAACAUCAAUAAACAUAUGCAAGCCCAUUUGGGGAGACUACUCAACCCACCAACCACUACACUCCACCCGUACCAGCCAUACACUCCAUGUGGGGAAUAGCUCAACCCACCCAGCCCAACACUCCACAGUUGCAGCUUUACUGCUCAGUUAACAGUAAAUUGAGGCAAAGCCUCCAAUACGUGGACAAGCCACUUUCAAUACUUCCUCCGUCAAUAUCCCAAUCCCAUGCAUCAGAUAAUAACAACAUGGCAUGCAGUAAAUAACAACAGUCAAACAUGCAUUUAGGUCAAUUUAACCCUAGGGGUAUUUCGGUAAUUUAUCUACUAGGGGUAAAACUGUAAAUUUUCCACUUUUAAAGGUAUUUCGGUAAUUUAUCUAUUUUAGGGUUUUUCAUGCAUAUUCCUACUUUUCACGUACUAACAGAAUCACGUACCGAGGGUUCUUACCGAAUUGGGCCCGUUGGCCCAUCAUUCCAAUUUUGGCCCAUUAAGCCAAAAAAUAUCAAGGGCACAGAAAUCAUGCACUUUGCAGUCCAAAUUUUACAGCUUACCAAAAACAUUAAUCGAUUUACCUCAUGAGCAUUCGCACACUCGCAAAUCUACAAAAUACCGGUUUUCGGCAUUUCGGCUUUUCGACUUUUGCCGAUCCAGACUAAGAAAGAGGGUGUUAGUUACACACCUGUUUGCAACGAUAUGCUGACGAGAUCCACACACGAACCGCCUACAAUUGGAUUACUAACACGUUAAUCUAACUAUUCAAAUACAAAAUACGUAUUAACUCCUUACAAUAUUCGGCCAACCACACCUACAGAUCAUAGUAAGCUUAUAAGAAAUCAAUAAGCAACUCAUUAACAAAUUUUUGUCAAUGUUUACCACAUAAUCAUAAUUUCACUGCAAGCUGUCUUCCUGAGCAACAAUCACUAAAUCAUUUAUAACUGGAGCUACGAAACUCCAAAUCAAGUGCCGUUAAUUUUCCCUAAAAAUAGACUCAUAUAUCUUCUAUCCAUAAAAUUUUCAGAAUUUUUGGUAUGGCCAAUCAAUACCAGAUUUUUCUUAAAGUUUCCCAUGUUUCACUGUUUGACUAAUCUGACCACUCUUCAUUACGAAUCAAAUUUUCUCAUUGUACAGAAUUCAAAAUAUGUUCUCGUUUAUUCCAUUUGAAACUAGACUCAUUAAUCUUUAAUUACAUAAUUUAUUCAGCUUCUAAUUCAUCUCCCACAAUUUAUGGUGAUUUUUCAAACUCACGUUACUACUGCUGUCCCAAGCAGAUUUAUUACCAAAUUCACUCUUUCACACAUAACUUGCAUGCAUGUUAUUUAAACAUGUAUAUCACCAAUCAAUCAUCACAUAUCUAUGAUUUUACUUAAGUAUAAUCUCUAUUUCAUCAUUUUAAAGCACAACAUAUUAGCCGAUUUUUCCCUUUAGCAUCUAAGGCACAUGCAUGUUCAUUUGUUUGGCUCAACUUCACCUAUCUUCCAUUUUUCAUCAAAAGAACAUGAAACAACAACCAUUUCCUUCAUUUUAAUUCAUGACCAAAUACUCACAACACAACCAAAAACCAAAAUAUGCUUCAAGAGUUAAGGUAGAAUCAAGAAAAACUCAUGAACCUCAAAAUAGAAGCAAACUACCAUGAACUUACCUUCAAUUUUCUUCCCCAAGUGACCGAACAUUCAAGAGCUUUCUCCUCUCCUUUCUCUUCUCUAACUUUAGGCUAUGAUGAACAAAGAUGGGCAAAACUUUGUUCUUUUCACCCCUUUUUCUUUUAAUAAAAUUUCAUAUUUCAUCCAUUUAAUUCUUUAAUACAAAAGACAUGAAAUGCCUAUCAUGAAACAUUUACCUAAACCAUUAUCAUGGAACAUUUACCUAACCCAUUAUCAUGGAAUAUUUACCUAAUCCAUUAUCAUGGAACAUUUACCUAACCCAUUAUCAAUUUGUACCAUGAAUUAUGGAUAUCAAGUGCUCAUAUUGUCUACAACAACAUGAUGGCUGGCCACUUCAUGUAAAAUGGGAGGUUUGUCAUGCAAAUCCUCCUAUUUUGCACUCCUAUUUAUUUGGCCACUUCAAUUUAGCCUAUAGCAUUUUCAAACAUUUUCAUAUAGGUUCUAUUUCAUAAUUUUACCCCCUUUUUCUUAUGGAACAAAAAUUAACUAAAAUUGCCAGGUUUUAUCUUAAGCUUGGGCCUUCUAGAGGCCCACUAACAUAAUUAAACCUAUGCCAACAUUCACAGAAUUCCCGAAAAUUGGGGCGUUACAAUAAUGAUUAUAAAUAAAUAUUAAUAAUUCAUAGAUUUAGGAAAUUAGAUUUAAGGAUGGGGUUCGGAAUAUUGAGUUUAAGAUUUUAAAAUAUAUUUAUAAUUAAUUCUUAUUUAACUAUGCUUAAAUAAAGUUAUUAAAAUUCAUUUAUAAAUCCUUUUUUUUAUUUGGUUUAAUGAAACUUGUACGACUUUUUUAUACAACUAACCACAAUAUAUAUAGAUAUUUACAAGAAUGACCAAACUUCAAAAAACAAUGACAAAAAUUACCUAAAAUGAACAAUGCAAGGGUGGUGUCUGCACCCAAGUAAAUCAUCCCCCCAUCAUUAGCUAUUGAUUGCAUGGGGGUUUAAAAAAUAAUUUUUUUGGUGCCGAGACUUCAAUGGCUAGCACCAAUAUGUAAUUUUUCUCCUGUAUUUUGUAAAAUAUAGGUAUUCUUUGAUUAAAAAAAUAAUUUUUUAUUAGGUGUCAGUUAUCAGCAUCGCCAAAAAUAAAUUUAAUUUUUUUUCGUACUUUUUGUGCCGGCAAUGUGGUGGCUGAUACCCAUGUCAAUAAAAAAAAAAUAUUUUUUUGGUGUCGAUCUUCCCCAUGCUGGCACCGCUUUUUUAUUAAUUAAAAUAAUUUAUUUCUGGUGUCGACCUUUCAUUUGUUGGCACCCGUGUUUGAAAAAAAUGGUUCUUUUUUGGGUGCUGCCUAUCUUGUAGCUAGCACCCAAACAAGCUAUACAUUGAAUUUUUCUGUGUUUUGGUUGAGUUUUUUUUUUUAACUUUAACAAUUGAAAAAAAAAAGAGCCGUACUAGUGUUUUGUUGAGGAGGAAACAAAUUUUGUUGAAGAUGAAUAUCCAUAUAUUGUUAGUACAUGUCCAUUUUGCUGGAUAAAUAGUAAAUACAACUGAAGAAGUUUGUGCAUUUCAAAGUCGCCAAAAAAUAAGAAUGAGAUUCAAUAAACGUGUAAUAUUGGUGCAAAUGAAAUGGAAUAUAGGUGCAAAUUUCAAGAUUGUUUUACAAAUUUCUAAUUUCAACGGAUCCGUUGAAAUUUUCAGACAUAAAGUUUGUAGAUGGUGAUGAUAUGAUCACAAUGAUCGCAAUUUAUUGCCCCCCAAAGAUCGAGAAUCUCUGAUCGGUUGAGUAAUUCACAAUGUUAGUUGAUCCAAAAGCCCGUUCAAAUUGUCCCUCCAGUAAGUCAACAUUACGGAUUUAAUUUUGAUCUUAAUGUUUACUAGGAAUAUCUAUCAAGUUGUGGAAGGACAUCACAAACACCCGAAAAUCCAAAUUACGAUGGAUUUUCACAUAGCAACCCAAUCCUGGGUCCUAGUUUAGAGAUACAUCCAAAGGUGGUGGGUACCAUAACAAACAGUGAUGGAAGGUUCGAUAAUGAAGAUUAGUCACACCAUGAUCCUAGAGAAUUUAGUGACCCCGAUUUGGAUGAGGUUCUAGAAGAUAUAGACGAUGAAGGUGCGAAGGAGGGUUAAGAUGUGCACCCCAUUUGAUCGGGGACACGAAAUCUGAUAUAGUUAUACGAAAUAAUCCAAAGGCCCACAUGUCGAGCAUAGACCCUGAUGCAACACUUGCAUGAGAAUUUCCCAAAUUCCCAGAUAUAAUACCUUCUUACUUGAUGGAGGCAAAUUUGGAGGUUGGGGAGUUGUUCGUAGGCCAACAAUUCGAUAAUAAGAAAGACUGUGUAUAUACAAUAAAGCGAUACAACAUGAAGUUGUCGGUGGACUAUAAAGUAUCGAAAUCUACAUUGACUUUAUAUGUUGGGGAACGUUGGAGGGCUGACAGCGAUUGUAAUUGGCGGGUUCGGGCUGCAUUAAUGCAAAUGACUUAAACGUUGACAAUUAAAAAAUUAGAAGGGCCUCAUACAUCCAUGAUUGCACGUAUGAUGCAAGACCAUCGAAAAUUGGAUGCGAAAACUAUUUGCAACUUCAUUGUGUUGUUGGUAAAAGACAGGCCACAAUUCCUGUAUCAGUCUUUAUUACGAACAUAAAAUCUCGAUUCAACUACAGGGUGUCCUACAAAAAAGCAUAGUGGGUGAAACAAAUGACAACUUAGCAGUUGUAUGGUGACUAGGAUACGCCAUACAAUGAACUUUAAUGGUGGAUAGUCGCGAUGCAAAAGUAUGUGCUGGGUACCGUGAUUGAUUUGCAAACACUGUCGCAUAGAGGCUCGCACGACGAAAUAUAACUUGGGAAAUGAGUUUUUCACCGAUUGUUUUAGACGUUCGAUCCUUGUGUUAGGCUUUCUCCCACUGCAAGUCGUUCGUGCAGGUGGAUGGUACCUAGUGUUAUGGUAACUAUAUGCAAAUACUCCUAGUUGCAGGUUGCACAAGAGGACAACGAAAUGUACCGUUAGUUGCUUUCGCCAUUGUGGAGCCCGAGAACUUCGAAUCGUGAGAACUUUUCCUGAGAAAUCUGCGAAGGCAUGUUGUAAGGCAAGACAACAUUUGCAUUGUCUCUGACAGAUUGAAGGAACUACUAGUUGAAAUUAGGCGUUCUGGGGUUCCGUGGAGGUCCGUUUAUUGCAUCCGAUACAUCGCUGCAAACUUCCAAAAGAAUUAUAAAAACGAAGAUUGGCGAAAAGAAGUCGUGAACAUGGGUAAAAAAUUUCGAGCCUAAAUUUUACUGUUCAUAUUUUAUUUUUAAUCUUGUUUCUAAAUUAUUUGUAUAUGUUCAUAAUUUAUUUUUAAUCCUGCUUCUAAAUUUAUCUAUUCAUAUUUUAUUUUUAAUCCUAUUUCUAAAUUUAUCUGGUUAUAUUUUAUUUUUAAUCCUGGUUCAAAAUUUGUAAUUUAAAUAUUUUUUAAAUCUUGUUCUUAAUUUAUUAAAUAUUUUGAAAUAUUGUCAUAUCGAAAUGCAUAUGCAGGGUAUGAGCUGGAACCACGUCGAUUCAGGCAAAGGCUGACAAGGUUUAAGGCUCAAAUGGUUGGGUGACGAACUAAUUUUUGGUAGUGGUUGGGUAGUAUGGAGCCGUGGCAAUGGGCUCAAUGUUACGAUGACGGGUAUUUCUAAGAGCCUAUUUUCGGUGAGAUUGGAACAGUGGUUUCAGGAACACAAAUCUGAGCUAAAAAUAAAAAUCUAUUUUAUUUUAUUUUAUUUUAUUUUAUGGUUGGCAUCAUGAUAGGAAAUUCACAUGAAAAUUUUGAUACAAAAAUUUUACAGAUUGUGUGUUUAAUUAGGGAAGAAACUAAAUUGCAUAAAAUGCAAAAGUUGGGUUCUAGUAGCUAUAAGUAUCAAAUAGCUAUGAAAUUCAAAACUUAAGGUCCUUAUAUGGUAAUUAGACCAUCGAAGAGUAGUUAGUAGAUAUUUUAAUGACUCAUUCAUGGAAAAAUUAGAAAAGGGUAGGGACUAAAUUGGAAAUCAAUAAAAUUAAUAGAUGAUAAUUAAUUAAAAAAGAAAAAAAUUAUCUAUUUACAUAUCAUCUUCCCCAAUUUUUCUAUGGAAACCCUAGGAGAGAGGAAGAAAACUUUUCAAGCUUAAUAAGGUAUGAAAUCAAGUCCCGUUUUUAGUAAUUUCUAUAUUUUUAGAAUCAGGAUAGUCUAAUAUUUCUAUUUAGGGGAUUUAUUUGAAAAGUUGUCAAGGUAUGAAAUUUGGGUCAUGGAUAAAUAUGCUGAAAAUUAGAAAUUUAUGGUAGAAAAUGAAAAUUUAUUCAUAGAUAAACAACUUUUACAAAGAAAUUUUUGAUGAAAACUUGAUUUAGGAACUAAAAUGAAAAAGUGGUAAAACCCAUGGAAAUUUCUGAAAUUUGUGAAAUGUAUGUGCUGUAAAUGUAAUAUAUACAUUUUGGCUAGGCUUGGAAAGAGGGUUAAAUUUCAUGAAUUUCAUUUUCUAGGCCUAGGGACGAAAUCAGAAUUUUUGAAAAGGAUAGGGGCAAAAUGGUAGUUUUGCCUAAGAUGUAAUAGAAUGCAAAUGUAAAUGAAAUGUGAUAGAUUAAUGGUUAACGUUUUCCACAUAGAUCCGGAAAGACCAACCAUAGAACUAGAUCUAGGAAAAUAAAAGGUUUCGGAAUAGUUGAAAUUCAAAUACGAACCAUUUUUAAGGUAAGUUCGUGUAACUUAAAUAUGUGUGUUAAUAUGCUUGAAUUGAAUUGUAUGAUUGUGUUGAUAUAUGAGAUGAUAUACAUAAUGAAAUAGUCAUAAGUUGUGAAAUAUGGACAAAUUGUCAUAUUCCAGUUGAAUGUUGAAUUUCGAUGGAUUAAGGUGAAUUCUUGAAUAAGAAUAAUAUUGCAUAUGUUACAGAUAGAAUUUAGCUCGGACGGGUAAUUCUAAUGUAAGCCCUCUUGAGCUUAGGUUAUAAAUUGAAUUAAGCCAGGACGGGUAAACCAAAUUAAGCUCUCUAGAGCAUAUGCUACAGAUAGGAUUUAGCCUGGACUAGUGAUCUUGCUGUAAAAUGUGCGACUCAAGAGUGUGCCUUUUAAUUAUGUACCUUAAUGGGUACUUUUGCACAUGAGUAUAUUACCCGAACAUCCAUCAAAAUUUCAAUAGUUCGACGAAAAAGACUCUUGAAGUAUGGAAAUGUGAAAUUUAAUGGAAGCUUGUAAUGUGAUGAACUCAUCUAUGUUUACUUGAUUCUUAUAUGAUGUUAUGUGAUUAACUUGAUUGAUUAAGUGUUUGUGUUUAGGUAAACUCAACCAAAGUUUAUGGAAAGUAUGACUAUGUAUGCUUGUAUUGAAAAAUAUGAAUGGUAAGUUUAUUUUCCGUCAUACGAACGUACUAAGCAUAAAAUGCUUACUCUGUUUAAUUUCCCUAUUUUAUAGUGCUCAAAGCUCGCGAAGGUUGGAAGUAAGUCGGAGCAGUCAUCCCAUUAUCUCAUUUUAGUAUAAAUAAAAAUUUCAUUUUGGUAUAAUGGCAUGUAUAAGCUUAUUUGGCUAAUGAUGGCUUGUAAUUGUUGUUUUGUAAUCUAGCCAUUGGAGUGGCUAGUGAUGGUCUAAGUUUGACUAUUUUUGAAGUAAUAUUUUGGUAAUCACAUAAGUGCUUAUUAUGUGUUAGUUUGUUGGAAUUAUGUUAGCAUAUAAGUUUAUGUUAAGAGUAAGUUAUAUCCUUUGAUGCAUGAGAUACCACAUGAUUGAUGUCAAAUUUUAUGUGAAUAUGAUAUUGGAUUGGUGGAUAUAUGCUUGUGAGUUUUGGUGCAGGAAAAUGGUAAGUUUUGGAUGACAAAUGAGGCUAGAAAAUAGCCUUAUUUUGUCCACACGAGUAGACAUAUGGGCAUGUGUCUUGGCCAUGUGUGACACACGGCUUGUCUCAUGGGCAUGUAGUCUGGCCGUGUGUCCCCUACAUCUUAAAAAUGAGAUACAGAAUGCUCAGAAUUGGGCACACGGGAAGAGACACGGGGGCGUGUCUCAGUUGUGUGGUUGACAGGGCCUUGGACACUGACGUGUUACACUGUCGUGUGAAAACUACACCUAAAUUUCGAAAAUAAAAUUCGCCACAUGGCCUAGCACAAGAGCAUGUAACUUGGCCAUGUGACUUCAAUUUCUUCAUGCCUUAUAAGUCAGAGAGUUACACGGGUUAGGGGCAUUGGCGUAUGUAGUCACACGGCCCAAUCACACAGGCAUGUCCCUAGACCACACAGGCAUGUGAGCCUUGCAACCUUGGAAAAUUUUUGAAAUGUUGCAAAAAUUUUUAUAAAUUUUCGAUUAAGUCCCUACUCGAUUCUAAUGCUUGUAUUGGACCUCGAGGUCCAAUUAAGGGACGUUUUGAAUGAUCCUGGUAAAUGAAUAGUAAUCUACGUAAAUUAUUUGUAAAAUGUUCUGAAUGUUUUGGUAAUACUCCGAAACCCUGUUCCGACGAGGGAAACGGGUUAAGGGUGUUACAGUAUUAGUAUUAGUAUAGUAUUAUUCAAUAUGGUUUUUUCAUUACUUGAAUAUUUGUUUAGUAUUAUAGUUCGUAUUUAUAAAAAAACAACAAAAUUUUGUAUAAUAUUAGUUUUUGAACCAUUUUUUUAUAUUUUUAAAAACAUUAUAUCAUAGCUUUUUUUUUAUUAUUCUCGAUUUUAUAUCGGUUCGACUGCGGAUAAAAUUUACAAAUUUAUGAACAAUAAAAUUUUUUAUAACUUAAAAACAACUCCUUUCGGUUUUAUCAUACUAAUAUUUGUAUUAAAAAUUACUCAAAAAUUUAUUUAUCUCUACUAUUGUCGUUUUUUUUUACAAAAUUUACCUAACUAAUUUCAUAAUUUAUGAAAAUUCUCCACGUGCAAUAAUACUAACUAAAUUUGGAUUAAUCAAACUAUACAAUUUGCUAAUGUAUUUUGAAAAAUAUUUUCUCCAGUAAAUUCAUAUUCUGCUUGAAUCAGGUCUAUCGUUGCAUUAAGUAAGAUUAGGUUCAGCCAUCCUCAAUCAAAUACACUGGAGUUGUUUAAUUUUAUUAUUAAUUGCGCAAAAUGACAAUGACUUCUCUUAUCUGAGCUUUAGACCAAACAACACUAAGCCGAGCUUCGAAUGGCUCCAACGGGAAUCUCAUGCCCCAAUGUUUAGGUUCUUGUGAUAUAAGGUUUGGUCCACAAAGAUUGCCACCUACUCAUGUAAAAUAUAAUUGACACCUUCGCCCCUUAACAGUUUAACCUUUGCGGUUAUUGUGAAAGUAUAUAAUUUAACACCGUUAAUGUAUGACUAACAAUACAUAAUAGAAUCUUCAAUUGAUGAUACACUCCCCAAAUAUAUAUAUAAAAAAAAGUCAAUCUCUCUCCCCAUUUUUUUCUCUACAUUUUUUCUCUUCAGCAUGACAAUGUCUGCAAAUUUUUUUCUCACUUUCCAUUUUAUCAAAAGUUGAAUAUUUUUGUAAAUAUUUAUUUUUUUAAUUAAUUAGAUAAAAAGGACAACUUGUACACUAAGAGUGAAUCAAAUAUCUUUCCCUAUUGUUAUAUGUAAAACAAAAAAUUCACAAACAACAAACUUUACCUAGAUUAAAAAUUAAACGUAGGAAAAACAUCUAAACAUCUUUGAUUGCUUGUAAAAAUAUGAGAUAUCUUAUAAAAUUCCUAAAAAAAAAGGCACUUAGUCUCAGGGGAAAAAUAUGAAAAUUGUUAUUAAUAUCUUAUUAAGUGAAUGUCUAUCAAUAUCAAGAUAAGUUUUGAUAUAUUUUAAAUUCUAAUAAUGAUUAGAAGUAGAUCUCUACUUCAUUUAUACUUCUUAUGUCUAUAAAUUAUAUUAGCUUUUCUUAUUUUAAAGCUAAUAUAUUAAUACCUUGUGAUAGUUAAUGCAUUAGUUUUCAAUUAUAUUCAUUAUAAUGGAUAUCAUAUUGAGAUUGUGAAUGAAGAAAAGAUUAUAUUUAAUAUGCUAUUGUUAUAAAUAUCUAUUUUGAAAGGAUGUAAAAAAGCAAUGAUUUAAUUAUUGAUUACUCUUGUUAUUAAAUUAAAUUGAUUAUGAUUAUUUUUGUGGUUUUCUUUUGUCAUCAUCUCCAUUAAGAGAUUGAAAGCAAAAUAUUUGACUCUAAAAGAUCAAUUUGUGAGCAAUAGAAUAUGAUAAUUCUAUCUAAAGCUCGAUAUCGUUGGAUGCACCUGAAAUUGCAAAUUUAUUUUUUAAACUAUGAGUAUCACUCUACAGUAUUCAGAAUAAGUUCUCAAUUAAAAUUACAUGGAAAAAUAUUAUUUAUGAGAACUUGUAUCAAAUCAUAUCCACACAUUUGUCUUUAUUUAAUUUAUUCACCAUAUAAUAUCAAUUUGAUAAUAAUAAAUACAUUAAUAUUUAUUUAAAUAAUAAGCAAAUACAUACAUGUAUUACAAAUGUAUGUAUAAUAUUUAGUACACUUGUACCAAAUCAUUUUUAUACACUUGUCUUUCUUUUAUUUAUUUUAUUUAUUUCAUAUAAAAAUCUAUUUAAAUAGAAAGUAAUUAAAUAAAAUAUACUAAAAUUGUACAAAUAUAUGUAUUACACUUGUAUAUUUUAUUUACCAUAAAUUUGUCUUUAUUUAAUUUAUUUCAUAAUAUAAUAUCAAUUUAAUAAUAACAAUAACAUUAAUAUUUACUUAAAUAAUAAGUAAAUACAUACAUAUAUUACAAAUGUAUGUAUAAUAUUUAUUACACAUGUAUUUUAUUUUUAUCACACACUUAUCACAAUUUAAUUUAUUUAUCAUAUAAAUAUCUUAUAAUAUAAUUAUAAUAAAUUAAUUUAAUAUCAUUUAUUAAUAAUAUAUAUAUAUUAUAAUUAAAAUCUAAGUAAAAAUUUUAGAUUUUUACUUUGUAUGCGGCCUCACUUAUGCUAAAUGGCAUAAUUUCCGUUUUGGUCUUUUUUAUUCUCUUUUAAUCUAUAAUUAAACUUUCAUACUUUAUUCAAUUUAAUUAUUUUAUCCAAUUAUCCUUAAUUAAGCUAAAUUCACUUAAUUAAACUCUAAUUAACCACUCAAUUAACUUUGUAAAUAUUUUUGAUAAAUAUUUACGGAUCAUUUUUCAGGAACGGAGACCCGAAAAUACACUUUUUCGAUAACCGUAAAAUUCGGGUCAUUACAGUUUAAAUAUUUGAGAUGUUUUUUUUUUUUAAGUUUUGAUUCUAUGGGUUGCAUAUUAUUUUAAGCAUAUCAUUAUUCAUGAAAAUGAAUAUUAACUGAUUUAUUUAUGUCGUUAUAGUAGGUUUUAUAAUUAAAUAAUAUAUUUAAUUAAAACAUAUCUAGUAUGCAAAUUUAUGUUAACAAACCAAUGAAUUUUAUGGUUAUUCAAAUUUGAUUUAAUUCAAAGCAUUGUUAAAGGUAGUAGUUCAUACAUUUUAUAUUAUUUCAUUUAUUAAUUAUUUAGACAAAUGACAUGAGCAAUUGUAAAUGAAAAGUUCUAUGAGCUUGAAUGGUUGGAUUUUGAAUUAAAUUUCAUAUAUGUUUAUGAUAAUGGUUAUGAAAAAAAUUGUUAGUUUUUCAUUAUGUUAGAUUUUUAUGUUUGAGAUGUGACUUUUAUUGAUAUAUUUAAUAUAGGCUUGUUUCUAUACAUGACCUAGGCAGUUAUUCUUAGUAGUUAAUUGAUUAUGCAAAAUUUUUGUUAAAAGGGUUUUAAAAGUAUUUUGAAUCCAACUUGGGACUUCUUACACCCAAAGCAAGAAUCAUACCACUGGACCAAAUGCCUUACAUUUGAAAAUUUUAGCAUAUUCCCUAAAGCGAAUAUUGCAUGUAAUUAUUUGGAAAUUAUAUUUAUUAACUUAGUGGCAUUAUAGACUUCACAUUGAUUUAGACAUUUCCAAUAAUAAAUGUCACAAUAGUACUUAUAUGUAGAUAUAAAGUAAAAGAAAUGACAGUAAAAUUGUUAAUUUGUUACAAUUUAUAUUAGCAUUAUUAGUACAAUUAAGAUGCAUAUUAAAGUAAACCAGAAGUUUACUGAUACAAAUGCAUUUACUACUUGAUGUGACCAGUUGGACCAUCCUGGAUUAUAUAUGAUGCAGAAAUUAAUUGAGAAUUCAUAUGGAUAUUCAUUAAAGAACCAGAAAAUUUCUUAAUUUAAAGAAUUCUCAUUUGUUGCUUGUUCUCAAUGAAAAUUGAUUGUUAGAAACUCACUAGCUAAAAUUGAGAUUUAAUGUUUUGCAUUUCUGAAAUGAAUAUGGUCCCAUUCAUCCAUUAUGAGGAUGGUUUUGAUAUUAUAUGAUUUUGAUAGAUGCAUUUACAAAAUAAUUACGUAUGUGUUAUCAAUUUGCAACCUGUUGUUUAUAAUAUUUUAAGAUAUGUGAAUUUUAGUAAGAUAGGGUCAGAACUGUUUUUGGAGUCCCCUGUUCUGAGUUUAGAAAAUAAUUAAAAAUUGUACAAAAAUGGUUAUGAGUUGAAAUUUACAUGCUUAGAUUUCUUAAAGAGUCUAUUUUCUGUAGAAACAAGUAAGAACUUCAUAUGAAAAUCCUACAGUGAGAAAACUUAUUUUUAGUGACUAGAGGUCAGGGCAGUUAGGUGGUGAAACAGGGGAGACUUUAACUAAUAAACUGUACUAAUUUGCUGAACCAAAAAUUAUAAAAAUUUUAUGGUGAGUAGAUAUAUGAGUCUAGUUUCAGGGAAAAUUUACGGAAUUAAAUUUCGAGUUCUGUAGCUCAAGUUAUAAUUAAUUUAGUAACUACUGCGCGAUUGGACAGAUUUGCUGCGAAUAAUGAAAUAAAUUUUCAAACCUAGUUUUUAUGCUCCGAAUUGGUAAGAUAAGCUAAGUAAUGCCUCGUGCUCGACUCCGGAAACGGUCUCGGGUAAGGGGUGUUACAUUUUAUUGGUAUCAGAGCAGGUUUAGUCGGUUCUCGAAAAUACUCAGUAAGAAUAAGAGUCUACCUAUACAUGCCAUACUUAUAUAUUUUGAUAGUGUGACGACUCCUGACGAUUUUAAAAUGUUUUCUUUUAUAGUUAUGGAUCCUGAACGAGCUAGUACAGAUGAAGUAGAGAGUAAUGCGCCUAUUCCCGCAGAAGGGACGGUGCCAUCAGAUGUUAAUGUUAGUGAAAGACCUGCAUCAGAUAGACAGGGAGGAGGAGCUAGAGAAGCCUUCUUCCAAGCCAUGACUGAUUGGUUUGCCGAGUUCGUUCGUACGAAUCCGGCUGUAAGACCUCCACCCCCUCAAGAUUCACAGGUUCCCCAUGUAGCUUCCCCAGCUGCAGGUAUAUUUAUCAGGGAGAGACCACCUAUUGAUAAGAUUAGGAAGCAAGGGGCUGAAGAAUUUCGGGCUACCAAAGAUGAUGAUGCAGAAAAAGCAGAAUUCUGGCUUGAGAAUACCAUUAGGGUUUUUGAAGAAUUAUCUUGUACACCGGAAGAAUGUAUGAAGUGUGUGGUCUCACUUCUUAGAGAUUCCGCUUAUCAUUGGUGGAAGACUCUCGUGUCUAUCGUACCGAGUGAGAGGGUUACUUGGGAUUUCUUUCAGGAGGAGUUUCGAAAGAAGUACAUCAGCCAGAGAUUUACAGAGCAGAAAAGGAAGGAGUUUCUUGAGCUAAAACAAGGUAAGAUGUCCGUGACUGAAUAUGAACGCGAAUUUGUCAGACUUAGUAAGUAUGCUCGGGAAUUUGUAUCCACCGAAGCCAACAUGUGCAAGAGAUUUGAAGAUGGGCUUAGUGAUGACAUCCGACUAUCAGUGGGUGUAUUGGAAAUAAGAGAGUUUGUUGUUCUGGUAGAAAGAGCUUGUAAAGUAGAAGACUUGUUAAAAGAAAAAGAAAAGAGCAAAGCUGAAGCUGGAGCGCAGGAUACAAAGAAGAGGCAAAUGAGUAAAUCAUUUCAGUCUACAUCUAAGAGGCUUAGGGAGCUCUCUAGCGGAUCACAUUUUCCACAUAUAUAUUCUGGCCGAAGCAGAAGUAGAAGAUUCGAGGGUUUUAGAGCUCAAACCACUACAGUUGCAAGUACUGGCAGUACUCGACCUCCUAGACCGGAAUGUCCUCAAUGUGGGAGACGCCACCUCGGAGAGUGUAGAGCAAGUGAAAAUGUUUGUUUCAGAUGUAGAGCAUCCGAUCACUUUAUUCGAGAUUGUCCUGAAACAACUAAAAGAGAAGAAAUAACGAGUGCGAGAUCAGGUAAUGCUCCUACCAGAGGUAGACCUCAGAGAAACCCAGGAGUGGGGGCAAGUAAUAGGGGUGCAUUCAAAGAUUCAGCGGUUAGAUCAGAUGUUAGAGCACCUGCAAGAUCAUAUGCUAUUCGAGCUCGUGAAGAGGCGUCCUCUCUUGAUGUAAUUGCGGGUACAUUUUCUCUCUAUGAUACUACUGUUAUUGCAUUAAUUGAUCCUGGCUCUACACAUUCAUAUAUAUGCACAAAAUUAGAAUUUGUUAAAAAUUUGUCUGUUGAACCUACUGAAUUUAUGGUUAAAGUCUCGAACCCCCUGGGCCAGUUUGUGAUAGUGGAUAAAGUUUGUAAAAAUUGUCCACUGAUGGUAAAAGGUAUUUGUUUCCCGGUUGACUUGAUGUUAUUGCCUUUUGAUGAGUUUGAUGUGAUAUUGGGCAUGGAUUGGUUAACUCAGCAUGAUGCAGUAGUAAACUGUAGACAAAAAUAUGUUGUGUUGAAAUGCCAGAAUGGAGAAUUACUUUGGGUUAAAUCUAAUCAAACAAAGGGAUUAUCCGAUAUGAUUUCAGUUAUGACAGCUCAGAGGUGUGUUAGAAAAGGGUAUGAUGUUUAUUUGGCGUAUGUGUUGGAUACUAAGGUAUCUGAGUCAAAGAUACAGGCAGUGCCAGUUGUAUGUGAAUUUUCUGAUGUAUUUCCAAAGGAGUUACCAAGGUUGCCACCAGAAAGAGAAGUGGAAUUUUCUAUAGAUCUGAUUCCGGGAACUGCCCCAAUUUCCAUAGCUCCGUAUCGUAUGGCUCCUACAGAAUUAAAAGAGUUAAAGGCACAGUUACAGGAACUUGUUGACAGAGGUUUUGUUCGUCCGAGUCAUUCACCUUGGGGUGCUCCAGUUCUGUUUGUGAAAAAGAAAGACGGGUCUUUGAGAUUGUGUAUUGACUAUCGGCAGCUUAAUAAGGUAACUAUAAAGAAUAAGUACCCAUUGCCUCGAAUUGAUGACUUAUUUGAUCAACUGAAAGGUGCCACAGUAUUUUCAAAGAUUGAUCUCCGAUCGGGUUAUUAUCAGUUACGGGUAAAAGAGCCAGAUGUGGCAAAGACAGCUUUCAGAACCAGGUAUGGGCAUUAUGAGUUUCUGGUUAUGCCGUUUGGGUUGACUAAUGCACCUGCAGUAUUCAUGGAUUUGAUGAACCGGAUAUUCAGACCGUAUCUAGAUAGGUUUGUAGUAGUUUUUAUUGAUGACAUUUUAGUUUAUUCUCGGGAUGAAACUGAGCAUGCAGAACAUUUGAAAAUAGUGUUGCAAAUUCUGCGUGAAAAGAAACUUUAUUCUAAAUUCAGUAAAUGUGAAUUUUGGCUUCGAGAGGUAGGUUUUCUCGGACAUAUUGUAUCCGCAGAAGGCAUCAGGGUAGAUCCGAGUAAAAUUUCAGCUAUUGUCAAUUGGAGUCCACCGAAGAAUGUAUCUGAAGUUAGAAGUUUCUUGGGUUUAGCUGGUUAUUAUCGGAGAUUUGUACAAGGGUUUUCUAUGAUAGCUUCUCCAAUGACCCGUUUAUUACAGAAAGAUGUUAAAUUUGAAUGGACAGAAAAAUGCCAGCAAAGUUUCGACCGAUUGAAGGAGUUGUUAAUGAAAGCACCUAUGUUGGUACAGCCUGAAUCGGGUAAGGAAUUUAUUAUUUAUAGUGAUGCAUCAUUAAAUGGUUUGGGUUGUGUCUUGAUGCAAGAAGAUAAAGUAAUAGCCUAUGCUUCAAGACAACUUAAGCCACAUGAAAGAAACUACCCGGUACAUGAUCUCGAGUUAGCUGCUAUUGUAUUUGCAUUGAAAAUAUGGCGGCAUUAUUUGUAUGGUGAAAAGUGUCAUAUUUAUACUGAUCACAAAAGCUUGAAAUAUUUGAUAACACAGAAAGAUUUGAAUUUGAGACAACGCAGGUGGCUUGAAUUGAUAAAGGAUUAUGAUUUGGUUAUUGAUUACCAUCCGGGUAAGGCUAACGUGGUAGCUGAUGCUUUGAGCCGAAAAUAUCUAUUUACUUUACGAGCUAUGAAUACCCGGUUGUCACUGUCUAAUGAUGGUUCAAUCAUAGCUGAAUUGAGAGCUAAAUCGACAUUUCGUCAACAAAUAUGUGAAGCUCAGAGGAAUGAUGAGAAAUUACAAGCUAAACGGGUGCAUUGUGAGUCAGGUAAUGAUUCAGAAUUUCAGAUUGGAACUGAUGGUUGUUUAUUAUUCAGAGGCAGAGUAUGUGUACCGAAGAAUUCAGAACUUGUACAGAAGAUUUUACACGAAGCACACAGUGGUAUUAUGUCCGUACAUCCGGGAGGUAAUAAAAUGUAUAAUGACUUGAAAAAGAUGUAUUGGUGGCCGAGUAUGAAACGUGAUAUCUCUGAGUUUGUAUCAAGAUGUUUAGUAUGUCAGCAGGUUAAGGCUGAACAUCAGGUACCUUCGGGGUUGCUUCAGCCAAUCACUAUACCGGAAUGGAAAUGGGAAAGAAUCACUAUGGAUUUUGUAUCUGGGUUACCAUUAUCUCCGAGGAAGAAAGAUGCCAUUUGGGUAAUUGUCGACCGAUUGACAAAGUCCGCGCACUUUAUCCCAGUAUGUAUGGAUUAUUCUUUAGAUAAAUUGGCUGGAUUGUAUAUAUCUGAGAUUGUUAGACUACAUGGAGUGCCUGUCUCCAUUAUAUCAGACAGAGAUCCCCGAUUUACGUCUCGUUUCUGUAACAAAUUGCAAGAAGCUUUGGGUACUCAGUUGUAUUUCAGUACUGCAUUUCAUCCUCAGACAGAUGGCCAAUCUGAGCGUGUAAUUCAGGUAUUGGAAGAUAUGCUCCGAUGUUGUGCAUUAGAGUUUCAAGGUAAUUGGGAAAGGUAUCUACCUUUGAUUGAAUUUGCUUAUAAUAACAGUUAUCAGUCCAGUAUUAAAAUGGCUCCGUAUGAAGCUUUGUAUGGUAGAAAAUGUAGAACACCAUUAUAUUGGACAGAGCUCAGUGAAAAGAAGAUACACGGGAUUGAUUUGAUUCGGGAAACAGAAGAAAAAGUAAGACUGAUUCGGGAUAGUUUAAAAGCAGCUUCCGAUCGUCAAAAGUCAUACGCCGAUCUUAAACGAAGGGAGAUUGAAUUUCAGGUGGGUGAUAAAGUAUUCUUAAAAGUGUCUCCUUGGAAGAAAGUUCUCCGGUUCGGUCGAAAGGGUAAAUUGAGUCCAAGAUUUAUCGGACCAUAUGAGAUUAUAGAAAGAAUUAGACCAGUUGCUUACCGAUUGGCUUUACCACCGGAACUCGACAAAAUUCAUAAUGUAUUUCAUGUAUCUAUGCUACGACGGUAUCGAUCAGAUCCUUCACAUGUUAUUACUCCAACAGAAGUAGAAAUUCAGCCGGAUAUGACUUAUAAUGAAGAACCGGUUAAAGUAUUAGCACGAGAAACAAAGGAGCUUAGAAACAAAAAGGUAAAUCUGGUGAAAGUGCUAUGGCAAAAGCACGGGAUUGAGGAAGCAACAUGGGAACCGGAAGAGACAAUGAGGAAGCAAUACCCGAAUCUCUUUACUGGUAAGAUUUUCGAGGACGAAAAUCCUAAAAAGGGAGGAGAGUUGUAAUGGCCCAAAUUUGAGGUUAUCGGAACAGUGGUUUCGGAACCACAAAUCCGAUGAGAAAAAUUUUAUUUUUCUUAUAUUUUUAUGGUCUACAAUUUCACAAAAUGAUUUUUUGAAAAUUUCGUUCGAAAAUUUCGACGUUUGGGCACUCAAUUUAGUCAAAAGGACUAAAUUGUAAAAAGUGCAAAAGUUGAGUUCUACAUGUUAAAGGUGUCCAAUUGUUAUGAAACUUUAAAUUGGAGGUCCUUAUAUGGUAAUUAUACCAUUGGCAACUUGGUAGACAAAAAUGGGCAUGAGAUAAGUGAAAUAGAAAAUUUUUAAGUUAGGGGCAAUUUGGUAAUCUAGUAAUUAAAAUGAAUUAAAAGGGAAAAAGAUGAAAAAAAUCAUCAUCUUCUUCAUAUGAACGAAAUCAGCAAGGGGGGAAGCCAUAGUUAGGGUUUUCAAGCUUCCAAGCUCCAUAAUCAAGAAGUACGAAACUCGAGGUUAGACAAAGGGAAGAAUAAAGUUGAAGACUAAGUUGGUGAAUUUGGCUAUAAUUGGUACCGAGGUAAGUUUACGGUAAAUAAAUGCAAUAUUUCAAUAUUUAUUAUUAAUGCUGUUAAUUUCCAGCAAUUAUGAAUUUAUUUUAUGAAUUUAUUUGAUGAUGAUCCAAGCAUGAAAUGAUAGAGAAUUAAAAUUUAAAAGUCCCGUUGAUACAUAAGGAUGGUACUGGAUACGAAUGUCAUGACAUUUGGGUAAAGAGAUCUCAUGUAAGACCAUGUCUGGGACAUGGCAUUGGCAUCCUUAAGAUCAUGAGAGGUCCCCUGUAAGACCAUAUCUGGGACAUGGCAUGGGCACCGAGACGAGAGGUCCCAUGUAAGACCAUGUCUGGGACAUGGCGUUGGCACCGAGAUGAGAGGUCCCCUAUAAGACCAUGUCUGGGACAUGGCAUGGGCACCAUCACGAGAACAUCCCAUGUAAGACCAUGUCUGGGACAUGGCUUUGGCAUGUUAUUAUCAGAAGAGACCCGAGUAUCCUUAUUAUUCCAAUGUAGCUCAACGGGCUUGUAAACGAAUCAUGUUCAUGAAAGUUCAGUUUAAAGCAUAAAUGGCAAGCUCAGGUAAGUUGUAAGACUUAAGAACUUAUUAUACUAUCAAUUGAUGUUCAACGAUGCAGCAAGGAUUGAGUAAGUUAUGCACACAAGUAUUCUAAGUAAACAAGUAAGAGAACUAGUAUGAGAUUAACUAAAGAGUAAACUAGAGAUAUAGACAUUGAUUUAAUUAUUUAAGUUAAAUAUUGUUAUUUAUUUGCUAGUAAACUUACUAAGCUUUAUGCUUACUUCUUUUAUUUCUCUUUCUCUUAUAGUAUUGCAAAGCUACUUCAAGGAUCCUAAAGAAGUCGGAGAUCGUCCACACUAUCAACUACAACUGCUCGGUAUUUUAUAUCGAAACACGUUUGAGUUAUGGCAUGUAUAGGGAUUUAGUUAUUUUGUAUGUUUGUAAUGAUGAUUUUGCUAAUGAGUGAUGUGUAAGUAUUUGAUGAUGUAUGGUUAUUAAAAUGAUUAAGGAUGAAGGUGUUUGUUGUUAUGAAAGAUUAGGUGAUAAAUUAUGCAUGGAAAUCAUGAAAGGAUAAAAUUUUGCAAAGAAACAGAAUUCAGGCAGCACAGUGACGUGAAUUUGAAAAAUCACCCAAGAUAGUAUAAAAUGAAUUAGAGGGUGAAUGAUAUAUGGAAUUAAAGCUUGUUGAGUCUAUUUUCAUGGAAAAAUAACGAUGUAGAAGAAGGAAAUUUAUAUUUUAAGAUAUGUGAAUUUUAGUAAGAUAGGGUCAGAACUGUUUUUGGAGUCCCCUGUUCUGAGUUUAGAAAAUAAUUAAAAAUUGUACAAAAAUGGUUAUGAGUUGAAAUUUACAUGCUUAGAUUUCUUAAAGAGUCUAUUUUCUGUAGAAACAAGUAAUAACUUUAUAUGAAAAUCCUACAGUGAGAAAACUUAUUUUUAGUGACUAGAGGUCAGGGCAGUCAGGUGGUGAAACAGGGGAGACUUUAACUAAUAAACUGUACUAAUUUGCUAAACCAAAAAUUCUAAAAAUUUUAUGGUAAGUAGAUAUAUGAGUCUAGUUUCAGGAAAAAUUUACGGAAUUAAAUUUCGAGUUCUGUAGCUCAAGUUAUAAUUAAUUUAGUAACUGCUGCGCGAUUGGACAGAUUCGCUGCGAAUAAUGAAAUAAAUUUUCAAACCUAUUUUUUAUGCUCCGAAUUGGUAAGAUAAGCUAAGUAAUGCCUCGUGCUCGACUCCGGAAACGGUCUCGGGUAAGGGGUGUUACAAUAUAUAUUAAUUACAAGUCUAUUUGUAUUUUUAGAUGUUUUGAAUGUAUUGAAGAUUCAAUUAUGGCAUGAUUUGUGAUUAUCAUUUUGAUUCGAUAGUUUUCCCGACAUUAUGGGGAAAGAAAUAAUAACUUGUAAUGAGUUAGGGGGAGAGUAAUUUGAACCAGAAGUUCAACAAGGAUAACUCAUUACAAGUUAACUGUCAUAUGUAUUUACAAACUUAACGAGAAUAACCAAGUGUUAUACAUCAUCCAAUAUUUUAAUUUGAAUCAAAGUCCCAGAAGGACAGUAAGUUAGAAUAAAUAAUAGAUUAAUCGAUUCCAAAGAUGAAAAUUCUUGUAGAUGGUCAUAUAGUAGAGGAGAGUGUUUUAAAGGAGACCCAAGACAUAACUAAUAAGUAAAACUCCAGAAGGGAUUCAGGUACUUAAAACUCAAGAUUAAAAUAGUGAAAAUAAGAGAUCUCGAUAAGUUAUGUCAAUCUAAGAAAAUGUCGAACUAAUAAUAAAAGUGGUCGACAAUAGUUUUGCAUGCAAAAUUAUUGUUGAAAUAUUGAAAUAAAAAGAGAAUCUUGAAUAAAUCUAUUGAGAAAUAUAUAUAUGGAAUGAAUUGUUCAAAAUAGAAAAACGCAACUCAAGUACAAUUAAAUUUGUGGAGUUUUUGGACUAGUAGUUCAAAUACUUAAAUGUAUAAAGCCAAUAAAGGUACAAGUGAAGUAGUUUUGCAAAAACGGAAUAAAAAUAUAAAGUUUUUUGCUAAACCCUGGCAUUGAUUAUGAAAAGAUAUAAUAUUCUUUUGUGGUGGAUACAAUAACAUUUAGAUAUAUUAUUAAACUAACAGUUUAUAAAAAAAUUAACUUGUAUCUAAUGAUUGGUACAACCUUUUAUAAAUCACUAUAUAAUAAAAUUUAUAUUAAAAUCCUUGAAGGAUUUAGAAUGCCAGAAGUAUAUUGAAAUUGUUAGGAAAUUGUUCAUUUAUACGAAUUGAAAUAAUUUGAACAUGUGGUAAAUUUGACAUAAUGAAUAGUAGUUAAAUGAUGAUUAUAAAAUUAUCCAAAAUACUUAUUUGUAUUUUUAUAGAAGAAUUAUGAUUAAAAUUUGCUAUUAUUAUUGUUAAAACUUCUGAAGAGAUUAAGAUAUAUUUUCUCUAAAUUUUUCCUUAUUCAUAACUUUCAAAAGAAUUAUGAUAUAAAUGUUUAACAAAUAUAUUCAAAUAGGUAUUUAAAAAACUAGUAUUCAAGAUUAAAUACAUAGAAUAUGAGAAAAUAUGUAAUGUUUUUAUGAGAGAAAGUAAAUGCGCAUUGUACUAUUUUUCCCUUAACUAAUGUUUUAUCUCAUUAAAUUUUCCUGAUAAAGUUUUUAUCGAAACAACAUGUUAUGCAUAUUAUAAAUGUGUAUUAUUUUUUCUUCAAUAGGAAUUUUUUUUCUGACAAAGUUUUUAUCUUAAUAAAGUUUUAACAAAACAUAUUAUCUACAAAUAAACAUUUUAUGAAAAAUAUUAUGAAUAUUUUAUUAAAUAGAUAUUCAUCAAACAUAUUAUCUACCAAUAGACAUUUUAUGAAAAGUAUUAUGAAUAUUUUAUUAAAUAGAUAUUCAUCAAUAUCAAAAUAAAUUUUAAUAAACUUUAAAUUCUAAUAAUAAUUAAAUGUUAUACUUUUUAUAUCUAUAAAUAUAAACUUUAAAAAAAAGAUAAUAAAUAAUUUCAAUUAAUUAAUAAAAUACACUCUUUUUAUUCUUUACUCUUUGUCUAUUUAUUAUAUAACAAAAAUAAAAAUAUCAUAAAUUUCAUUUUUUUUAAAAUAUCUUAACUUGGAUAUCCACUAAUGUAAGGCCCAAAUGGUUUUUAAUAUUAAUAAUAAAAUCCACCUUUCAUUUCUUUGAGACCAACCUUUUCUACUAAUCAAAAAGGCAUGAAAAAUAUAUUUUAAACUAACUAAAUGCAACUCUCAAAUAAAAUAAAUUAUACAAAACUACAAUUCUUUGACAUUUUAGACUUACGGAAACUAAGAACUAGUGAACUUAGUAACAGCCUUAGUCCCUUCGGAAACAGCGUGCUUGGCCAACUCCCCAGGCAGGACCAAUCUUACGGCAGUCUGGAUCUCACGGGAGGUGAUGGUGGGCUUCUUGUUAUAGCGUGCGAGCCUCGAAGAUUCUUGAGCCAGCUUCUCGAAGAUGUCGUUGAUGAAGCUGUUCAUAAUACCCAUGGCUUUGCCGGAAAUGC
This 26640-nucleotide long non-coding RNA is filed under the name Gossypium barbadense (sea-island cotton). RNAcentral describes it as "long non-coding RNA (GBAR_LNC008331)". Lineage: Eukaryota; Viridiplantae; Streptophyta; Magnoliopsida; Malvales; Malvaceae. The record is from RNAcentral.